UCCACCUUCACCUGCUUCUGUAACAGGGCAGCCCUCUAGAGGAAACCGGCCUCAGAGAGCUGACUUCAGCUCCUCCAUGGGGGACUUGUGAUGAACCAACAAAAUCUUUCUCAGGUUCUAAAAAUUCCCAGGUGGGCCUGCAUUUUGGUUAGCAACAUCCUCCUGGAGGAAGGCGGGAGGAAGUGGCUGCAGCAGUGGAAAGGGAAGGGGUACGGCUUGGGGGCAGCUGGGGACCUAAAGAACUUCAGGCCUAAGGCCUUGAAACUGGAUGUUAAGUCUCAGGGGAGAGCUUAGCUGGGAAAAGGGCGUUAACGACAACUGCCCCGCCGCCAGGGGGCGUCCUCUCUGCGUCUCCAGGCAUCCCUAUUUCCCACCAUUCGGGAUGCCUGUGCCCAGGAGGGUUGAGCGCUUAACCUUUACGCAGAGGCAUGGGGUUCCCGGGAGAUCAUAUCGCCCGGGGUGUGCAGAAGGAAAUUGGGUUGGGGUCCGCUGUGUGGGCAGUCAAUCGCUCCUUCCGACCUUCCUCUUCCCACCCUCGCUGAGCCAGCCCAGACGUCGGCAGUCUCCACCCUUCCUCCCUGCUCCGGGAGACCCGGCUCCCUGGGGGAAGGGCUGAAGGCAACGCAGACGCAGCCAGCCAAGAGGCUUGGGCCAGGGUCUCAGGGCAAAGGGCGUGGGAAGGGCUGGCCCUCAGAGCCGGUUGGCGAGUCCCCAGUACUGGGCACAGUGCCCACCCACCUUGCCCGUGACAUCGUAGCUCGGACUGCAGGGCGGGGAGUGCUCGGGCGCCUCUCCAUCCCGGGUGGCAGCGGCGCCAGACAUGCCCGUCACGUCCCCUGGAUGAGAGGAAGAGGAGCGGACACGCAGGGAGAAGCCGGCCAUGUGAACACAGACGCAGAGAUCCGAGUGGUGUAUUUACAAGCCAACAAAUGGCGAGCAUCACCAGGAGCCACCAGAAGCUGGAGGAAGCAAAGAAGGAGACCCCCGCCUCCCGCCCCCCAGAGCCUUCAGAGGGCUUCUAACUUCCAGCUGUGGUUUGUGUUGUUGGCUCAACCAAGAUCCUCCUUUGUCCUGUGCUGCCAGGAUUUUCCUGAAGUUUCUCCAGGUUGGCCCCAAAUCUCACUGCUUGGAGAAGCUGAAUGUCAACUUUGGAUCCAGAAUUUCCAUUGCACCUUCCCUCCUCUGAAGCAUUUGUGAAAAUGUUAAUUAAUCGUGGUUCAAACAGAGACCUCUGUGCCAACUCUGCCACCAUUCAGACAAGUGUUUCCGUUCUGUCUUAAGUCAGUUGGUUUAUGUUUGUAUUUGGCUCCAUCCAUUCCAAAAGGAAUUUGAGGAAUUCAAAACCCGCCUACACCAAAGGCCAGGUAAUGAUACCGCCUGAAGCAAUCUUCCGCCCCAGAGUGACCUGGCUUGUUCCUAUAUCUGAGCGUUACAUUUGCUUUUAGAUUUCCUGGCAUCCACGACAAAAUGGGAAGCCAGAUGGGGUAUGUAGUACUUAUUGCCUGAGUCUUCUCAAUGAGUGAGUAUUUUCUGCCAGCAUGUGAUGUGGAGAAGAAUCUCUUAUGUGGAUUCUUAUAUGAGGGGCCUCUAGUGACAAAAUGGAAGAGUUGGGAUUUUGCAGAGAAGGUGAAGCUUUUCCUAUAGCUUUUCUAUUGACUCUUUUUUUUUUAUAAAAACAUUUUUUUAAUGUUUAUUCAUUUUUGAGAGACACAGAGAGACAGAGCAUGAGCAGGGAAGGGGCAGAGAGAGAGGGAGAUGCGGAAUCCGAAGAAGGCUCCAGGCUCUGAGCUGUCAGCACAGAGCCCGACACGGGGCUCGAACUCACGAACUGUGAGAUUAUGACCUGAGCUGAAGUUGGGCGCUCAACCGACUGAGCCACCCAAGUGCCCCUCUAUUGACUCUUGCUAAAAGCCAGGGCCUGACAUUAAAUCGCACUUCAGCAGACACUUCUCAGCUGGGCAAAUGUUGCCUAAGUGCUCUGCUUUCCUGUGACUUCCUGACUCAAGGGGAACACUUAGAAAACCUAGGUGAAUGGGGUGGUUACCAUGGCUCCUAACUGAUCUGAGCCACCUUCUUAAUCAGACGGGGAAUUCAGAUGCCAUAAAGAAAAAGAUAGAUAGAUCUGACUGUACAGACAUAAAAAUGUCCUGGUUGACAGAAGAUACCAAAAUGAAAUGAGAAAUGAUGGAGAGGAAAUAUUUGCAAGAUGUGUGACAGACAAAGGGUUAAUACACGUAGUAGUGUAAAGAGCUCUCAAAAGGAAAUCUCAGUAGGAAAGUGAACAAAGAAUAUGAGUACAUAGAUUGUGUGUGUGUGUGUGUGUGUGUGUGUGUAAAUGUGUGUAAAUGUGUCAACCUGGCCAGGCUAUAGCAUGUAGUUAUUCAAUUAAACACGAAUCUCUAUGUUGCCAUGAAGGUAUGUUAUAGAUGUACAGAUUAUAUAUUACAGAUAUACAAUCGGUUGACUUGUAAAUCUUCAAUAAUCUGGAUGGGCCUCAUCCAAUUAAUUGAAAGAACUUAGAGCAAAACUGAGGUUUCCCCGAGGAAGAAGAAAUUCUGUUCAAAAUUGUAGCAUCAGCUUCUCCCUGAGAAUUUUCAGCCUGCCAGUCUACCCUACAGAUUUUGGACAGGCCAGCCCCCCAGAGUCACGAAAGCCAAUUCCUUGAACUAAACAUCUCUCAGUAUAUUUCAUCCUGGUAUGUUUCUCUGAAUCAAUAUAACAUAUAAUGCUUUGGUAAAAGUAUGAUAAGGGUCAACAUUGGCUGAGAGUUGGGGAAACAAACACUCGUACUUACACCAUUGGUGGGAACAUACGUUGGGGCAUUUGGAAGAGCAACUGACAAUAUCUACUGAAGUUACAAAUGCAAAUUCCUUUGUCUCAACAGUUCUAUGGCUUUAGUGCACAAGUUCACCAAGAUAUGUGUACAAGGAUGUUCAUCGCAGCAUUUGUAAGUGCAAAUAAUCCAGCAAUUGGGACUGCUUAAAUAAACUGUAGGGGCGCCUGGGUGGCUCAGUCAGUUGAGCGUCCGACUUCGGCUCAGGUCAUGAUCUCGAAGUCUGUGAGUUCGAGCCCCGCGUCGGGCUCUGUGCUGACGGCUUGGAGCCUGGAGCCUGCUUCAGAUUCUGUGUCUCCCUAUCUCUCUGCUCCUCCCCUGCUCACACUCUGUCUCUCUGUCAAAAAUAAAUAAAGAUUAAAAAAAAACCGAACUGUAGAAUAUCCAUAUAGUGCAAUACUGCGAAGCUGAUAAAAGAAUGAGGUAGGGGUGCCUGGCUGGCUGGCUCUGUUGGUAAAGCAUGGCACUCUUGAUCUCAGGGUCGUUGAGUUCAAGCCCCACACUGAGUGUAGAGAUUACUUAAAAAAAAAAGAAAAAAAAGAAUGAGGUAGAUCUCUAUGUGCUGUUUGGGAAAAAUGAUAUUAUGGAGUAAAAAAAGGAGCAGCAAGAUAUGCUUGUGUGCUGACUUAUGUUGACUUCACCUAGAUACACAAUGGAAUUAUAUGGGUGUGUAUGCUUCUCUACAGGGAGGCAGCAGAGACCGACAGUGGCUACCUUUGAGGUUCUGGGGUGGUGGGGUGGGGAAUGGGGGUGGGGAAAAGGCUUACUUUUCACUUUAUCUCUACCUUAUUUAUUUAAUUAUUUUAUUCAAUGUUUAUUUCUUUAUUUUUGAGAGAGAGAGAGAGCAUGCACAAGCUGGGGAGGCGCAGAGAGAAAGAGGGAGACAGAGAAUCCGAAGCAGGCUCCAGGCUCUGAGCCGUCAGCACAAGCCCAACGCGGGGCUCGAACUCACAGACCGCGAGAUCAUGACCUGAGCCGAAGUCAGACGCUCAACCAACUGAGCCACCCAGGCACCCCUAAUUACCUUUUAAAGAAAAGUGUUAACAGGGAGUAUUUCAGAGUGGGCAUUAUCAGUCAUGUUUUCUUUUUGUACUUUUCUGUAUUAAAAAUCCCUAGUAAGUGUAAUAAAGUGGUUGAUGAAGUAAA
Molecule: long non-coding RNA, 3979 nt
Organism: Acinonyx jubatus (cheetah)
Lineage: Eukaryota; Metazoa; Chordata; Mammalia; Carnivora; Felidae
Exons: 3
Source: RefSeq, a predicted model, not a curated record